RNAcentral lists this ribosomal RNA (465 nucleotides) under Vreelandella stevensii. Its description in RNAcentral is "partial 16S ribosomal RNA". It matches the Rfam family "Bacterial small subunit ribosomal RNA", at positions 338 to 795 of the family's 1533-position model. The record is from RNAcentral. Lineage: Bacteria; Pseudomonadati; Pseudomonadota; Gammaproteobacteria; Oceanospirillales; Halomonadaceae.
CCUACGGGAGGCAGCAGUGGGGAAUAUUGGACAAUGGGGGCAACCCUGAUCCAGCCAUGCCGCGUGUGUGAAGAAGGCCCUCGGGUUGUAAAGCACUUUCAGUGAGGAAGAACGCCUGGUGGUUAAUACCCAUCAGGAAAGACAUCACUCACAGAAGAAGCACCGGCUAACUCCGUGCCAGCAGCCGCGGUAAUACGGAGGGUGCGAGCGUUAAUCGGAAUUACUGGGCGUAAAGCGCGCGUAGGUGGCUUGAUAAGCCGGUUGUGAAAGCCCCGGGCUCAACCUGGGAACGGCAUCCGGAACUGUCAAGGUAGAGUGCAGGAGAGGAAGGUAGAAUUCCCGGUGUAGCGGUGAAAUGCGUAGAGAUCGGGAGGAAUACCAGUGGCGAAGGCGGCCUUCUGGACUGACACUGACCCUGAGGUGCGAAAGCGUGGGUAGCAAACAGGAUUAGAUACCCUGGUAGUC